This 431-nucleotide ribosomal RNA is filed under the name uncultured bacterium. RNAcentral's name for it is "partial 16S ribosomal RNA". It matches the Rfam family "Bacterial small subunit ribosomal RNA", at positions 30 to 507 of the family's 1533-position model. The record is from RNAcentral.
CGAACGCUGGCGGCCUGCCUAACACAUGCAAAUCGAACGAGACCUUCGGGUCUAGUGGCGCACGGGUGCGUAACGCGUGGGAACCUGCCCUUAGGUUCGGGAUAACUCCCCGAAAGGGGUGCUAAUACCGGAUAAUGUCUUCGGACCAAAGAUUUAUCGCCUUUGGAUGGGCCCGCGUUGGAUUAGCUAGUUGGUAGGGUAAAAGCCUACCAAGGCGACGAUCCAUAGCUGGUCUGAGAGGAUGAUCAGCCACACUGGGACUGAGACACGGCCCAGACUCCUACGGGAGGCAGCAGUGGGGAAUAUUGGACAAUGGGCGAAAGCCUGAUCCAGCAAUGCCGCGUGAGUGAUGAAGGCCUUAGGGUUGUAAAGCUCUUUUACCCGGGAUGAUAAUGACAGUACCGGGAGAAUAAGCUCCGGCUAACUCCGUG